RNAcentral lists this ribosomal RNA (460 nucleotides) under uncultured bacterium. RNAcentral describes it as "partial 16S ribosomal RNA". It matches the Rfam family "Bacterial small subunit ribosomal RNA", at positions 338 to 795 of the family's 1533-position model. The record is from RNAcentral.
CCUACGGGAGGCAGCAGUGAGGAAUAUUGGUCAAUGGACGAGAGUCUGAACCAGCCAAGUAGCGUGAAGGAUGACUGCCCUGUGGGUUGUAAACUUCUUUUAUAUGGGAAUAAAAUGUUCCACGUGUGGGAUUUUGUAUGUACCAUAUGAAUAAGGAUCGGCUAACUCCGUGCCAGCAGCCGCGGUAAUACGGAGGAUCCGAGCGUUAUCCGGAUUUAUUGGGUUUAAAGGGAGCGUAGGUGGAUUGUUAAGUCAGUUGUGAAAGUUUGCGGCUCAACCGUAAAAUUGCCGGUGAAACUGGCAGUCUUGAGUACAGUAGAGGUGGGCGGAAUGCGUGGUGUAGCGGUGAAAUGCUUAGAUAUCACGAAGAACUCCGAUUGCGAAGGCAGUUCACUGGACUGCAACUGACACUGAGGCUGGAAAGUGUGGGUAUCAAACAGGAUUAGAUACCCGAGUAGUC